GACGAACGCUGGCGGCGUGCUUAACACAUGCAAGUCGAACGGAAAGGCCCUGCUUUUGUGGGGUGCUCGAGUGGCGAACGGGUGAGUAACACGUGAGUAACCUGCCCUUGACUUUGGGAUAACUUCAGGAAACUGGGGCUAAUACCGGAUAGGAGCUCCUGCUGCAUGGUGGGGGUUGGAAAGUUUCGGCGGUUGGGGAUGGACUCGCGGCUUAUCAGCUGGUUGGUGGGGUAGUGGCUUACCAAGGCUUUGACGGGUAGCCGGCCUGAGAGGGUGACCGGCCACAUUGGGACUGAGAUACGGCCCAGACUCCUACGGGAGGCAGCAGUGGGGAAUAUUGCACAAUGGGCGGUAGCCUGAUGCAGCAACGCCGCGUGCGGGAUGACGGCCUUCGGGUUGUAAACCGCUUUCGCCUGUGACGAAGCGUGAGUGACGGUAAUGGGUAAAGAAGCUCCGGCUAACUACGUG
This 468-nucleotide ribosomal RNA is filed under the name uncultured bacterium. RNAcentral's name for it is "partial 16S ribosomal RNA". It matches the Rfam family "Bacterial small subunit ribosomal RNA", at positions 28 to 507 of the family's 1533-position model. The record is from RNAcentral.